Molecule: ribosomal RNA, 1233 nt
Filed under: metagenome
Description: bacterial LSU rRNA
Rfam family: Bacterial large subunit ribosomal RNA
Source: RNAcentral
UGAAUACGAGAUGCUACGGCGUCGAAGCAGUCUAUGUCAUACUUCCAAGAAAAGCUUGCACUGUCAUAAACAAAUAAUGCCUGUACCAUAACCGACACAGGUGGGUAGGUAGAGUAUACUAAGGGGCGCGAGAUAACUCUCUCUAAGGAACUCGGCAAAAUGACUCCGUAACUUCGGGAGAAGGAGUGCCUUAUUUAUAAGGUUGCAAUAACAAGGUCCAAGCAACUGUUUACCAAAAACACAGGUCUCCGCUAAGUCGUAAGACGAUGUAUGGGGGCUGACGCCUGCCCAGUGCCAGAAGGUUAAAGAAGUUGGUUAGCAUCCGCGAAGCUGAUAACUGAAGCCCUGGUGAACGGCGGCCGUAACGAUAACGGUCCUAAGGUAGCGAAAUUCCUUGUCGGGUAGUUCCGACCCGCACGAAAGGCGUAAUGAUUUGGAUACUGUCUCGGAGAGGGGCUCGGUGAAAUAGACUUGUCUGUGAAGAUGCGGACUACCUGCACCAGGACAGAAAGACCCUAUGAAGCUUUACUGUAACCUGAAAUUGAAAUUGGACUUUACUUGCGCAGUAUAGGUGGGAGGCGUUGAGAAUAUUCUUGCGGGAUUAUUGGAGCCAUCAGUGAGAUACCACUCUUGUAAUGUUAGAUUUCUAACUUUGUAUCAUUAUCUGGUCAAAGAACAGUUUCAGGCGGGCAGUUUGACUGGGGCGGUCGCCUCCUAAACGGUAACGGAGGCGCACAAAGGUUUCCUCUGAACGGGUAGAAAUCGUAUCUAGAGUGUAAAGGCAUAAGGAAGCUUGACUGUGAGACCUACAAGUCGAGCAGGGACGAAAGUCGGUCUUAGUGAUCUGACGGUGCUGAGUGGAAAGGCCGUCACUCAACGGAUAAAAGUUACUCUAGGAUAACAGGCUGAUCUCCCCCAAGAGUUCACAUCGACGGGGAGGUUUGGCACCUCGAUGUCGGCUCAUCGCAUCCUGGGGCGGUAGUACGUCCCAAGGGUUGGGCUGUUCGCCCAUGAAAGCGGUACGCGAGCUGGGUUCAGAACGUCGUGAGACAGUUCGGUCCAUAUCCGGUGUAGGCGUUAGAAUAUUGAGAGGAGCCUUCUUUAGUACGAGAGGACCGAGAAGGACAUACCUCUGGUGUACCAGUUAUCGUGCCAACGGUAAACGCUGGGUAGCUAUGUGUGGAGUGGAUAACCGCUGAAAGCAUCUAAGUGGGAAGCCCACCUCAAGAUAAG